RNAcentral lists this transfer RNA (53 nucleotides) under Alectorobius microlophi. RNAcentral's name for it is "tRNA-Ser". The record is from RNAcentral. Lineage: Eukaryota; Metazoa; Arthropoda; Arachnida; Ixodida; Argasidae.
AAGGUUAUAAAAUAGAGCUGCUAACUCUACAUUAAUGAAAACAUUUAACCUUU